Molecule: unclassified non-coding RNA, 437 nt
Filed under: Hevea brasiliensis (rubber tree)
Lineage: Eukaryota; Viridiplantae; Streptophyta; Magnoliopsida; Malpighiales; Euphorbiaceae
Source: RNAcentral
UAACUGUUAUGGUUACAAUAAUACAUUCUACAGAUGCAUGUGAAACCUUAAGCUGUGUUGUAAAGAUGGUAGUGUACGAUCAGCUUCUAUAAUUGCUGUCCCUCUAAUGGGCUUUGGAAUUGGAAGACUCCAUUGCCUUUGACCUAAAAUAUGCAUUUUCCGCAUUACUCAACCGGUUUUGGAACAUGGUCCACUCACCCCUGCACCUGUCCCUCACCCCUUUCCAAGGUGCCUUCCCAUUUUCUGACUGACCCUGGUUUCCAAGAGAGGGAACAGUUUGAUGAACAAUCCAUUGAGAAUCUACGACUCCUAUCUUCUCAUGGGCAGGCUCUACACAUUUUCUGAGAGCAAAGUCAAGACCCCAUCCAUGGACCAAGUCAUUCUGAAUCAUAUGCCACACACAGCGCCAUGCAUUUCGUGAAAAGACUGGAGCCAUG